AUGAGUAGGGCGGGACACGUGGUAUCCUGUCUGAAUAUGGGGGGACCAUCCUCCAAGGCUAAAUACUCCUGACUGACCGAUAGUGAACCAGUACCGUGAGGGAAAGGCGAAAAGAACCCCGGCGAGGGGAGUGAAAAAGAACCUGAAACCGUGUACGUACAAGCAGUGGGAGCACAGAGCAAUCUGUGUGACUGCGUACCUUUUGUAUAAUGGGUCAGCGACUUAUAUUCUGUAGCAAGGUUAACCGAAUAGGGGAGCCGAAGGGAAACCGAGUCUUAACUGGGCGUUAAGUUGCAGGGUAUAGACCCGAAACCCGGUGAUCUAGCCAUGGGCAGGUUGAAGGUUGGGUAACACUAACUGGAGGACCGAACCGACUAAUGUUGAAAAAUUAGCGGAUGACUUGUGGCUGGGGGUGAAAGGCCAAUCAAACCGGGAGAUAGCUGGUUCUCCCCGAAAGCUAUUUAGGUAGCGCCUCGUGAAUUCAUCUCCGGGGGUAGAGCACUGUUUCGGCAAGGGGGUCAUCCCGACUUACCAACCCGAUGCAAACUGCGAAUACCGGAGAAUGUUAUCACGGGAGACACACGGCGGGUGCUAACGUCCGUCGUGAAGAGGGAAACAACCCAGACCGCCAGCUAAGGUCCCAAAGUCAUGGUUAAGUGGGAAACGAUGUGGGAAGGCCCAGACAGCCAGGAUGUUGGCUUAGAAGCAGCCAUCAUUUAAAGAAAGCGUAAUAGCUCACUGGUCGAGUCGGCCUGCGCGGAAGAUGUAACGGGGCUAAACCAUGCACCGAAGCUGCGGCAGCGACACUAUGUGUUGUUGGGUAGGGGAGCGUUCUGUAAGCCUGUGAAGGUGUGCUGUGAGGCAUGCUGGAGGUAUCAGAAGUGCGAAUGCUGACAUAAGUAACGAUAAAGCGGGUGAAAAGCCCGCUCGCCGGAAGACCAAGGGUUCCUGUCCAACGUUAAUCGGGGCAGGGUGAGUCGACCCCUAAGGCGAGGCCGAAAGGCGUAGUCGAUGGGAAACAGGUUAAUAUUCCUGUACUUGGUGUUACUGCGAAGGGGGGACGGAGAAGGCUAUGUUGGCCGGGCGACGGUUGUCCCGGUUUAAGCGUGUAGGCUGGUUUUCCAGGCAAAUCCGGAAAAUCAAGGCUGAGGCGUGAUGACGAGGCACUACGGUGCUGAAGCAACAAAUGCCCUGCUUCCAGGAAAAGCCUCUAAGCAUCAGGUAACAUCAAAUCGUACCCCAAACCGACACAGGUGGUCAGGUAGAGAAUACCAAGGCGCUUGAGAGAACUCGGGUGAAGGAACUAGGCAAAAUGGUGCCGUAACUUCGGGAGAAGGCACGCUGAUAUGUAGGUGAAGCGACUUGCUCGUGGAGCUGAAAUCAGUCGAAGAUACCAGCUGGCUGCAACUGUUUAUUAAAAACACAGCACUGUGCAAACACGAAAGUGGACGUAUACGGUGUGACGCCUGCCCGGUGCCGGAAGGUUAAUUGAUGGGGUCAGCGCAAGCGAAGCUCUUGAUCGAAGCCCCGGUAAACGGCGGCCGUAACUAUAACGGUCCUAAGGUAGCGAAAUUCCUUGUCGGGUAAGUUCCGACCUGCACGAAUGGCGUAAUGAUGGCCAGGCUGUCUCCACCCGAGACUCAGUGAAAUUGAACUCGCUGUGAAGAUGCAGUGUACCCGCGGCAAGACGGAAAGACCCCGUGAACCUUUACUAUAGCUUGACACUGAACAUUGAGCCUUGAUG
RNAcentral lists this ribosomal RNA (1744 nucleotides) under Escherichia coli. RNAcentral describes it as "partial 23S ribosomal RNA". It matches the Rfam family "Bacterial large subunit ribosomal RNA", at positions 408 to 2136 of the family's 2925-position model. Lineage: Bacteria; Pseudomonadati; Pseudomonadota; Gammaproteobacteria; Enterobacterales; Enterobacteriaceae. The record is from RNAcentral.